RNAcentral lists this ribosomal RNA (449 nucleotides) under uncultured bacterium. RNAcentral's name for it is "bacterial SSU rRNA". It matches the Rfam family "Bacterial small subunit ribosomal RNA", at positions 28 to 478 of the family's 1533-position model. The record is from RNAcentral.
GAUGAACGCUGGCGGCGUGCUUAACACAUGCAAGUCGAACGGGAAUUACUUUAUUGAAACUUCGGUCGAUAUGAUUUAAUUCUAGUGGCGGACGGGUGAGUAACGCGUGGGUAACCUGCCUUGUACAGGGGGAUAACAGUCAGAAAUGACUGCUAAUACCGCAUAAGCGCACAGAGCUGCAUGGCUCGGUGUGAAAAACUCCGGUGGUAUAAGAUGGACCCGCGUUGGAUUAGCUAGUUGGUGAGGUAACGGCCCACCAAGGCGACGAUCCAUAGCCGGCCUGAGAGGGUGAACGGCCACAUUGGGACUGAGACACGGCCCAGACUCCUACGGGAGGCAGCAGUGGGGAAUAUUGCACAAUGGGGGAAACCCUGAUGCAGCGACGCCGCGUGAAGGAAGAAGUAUCUCGGUAUGUAAACUUCUAUCAGCAGGGAAGAAAAUGACGGUAC